GUCUAUGGCCAUACCACCCUGAACACGCCCGAUCUCGUCUGAUCUCAGAAGCUAAGCAGUGUUGGGCCUGGUUAGUACUUGGAUGGGAGAAUUUCUGCGAGUAUUUGCCUAGAUA
Molecule: ribosomal RNA, 115 nt
Filed under: Ochotona princeps (American pika)
Lineage: Eukaryota; Metazoa; Chordata; Mammalia; Lagomorpha; Ochotonidae
Source: RNAcentral